RNAcentral lists this ribosomal RNA (492 nucleotides) under uncultured bacterium. Its description in RNAcentral is "partial 16S ribosomal RNA". It matches the Rfam family "Bacterial small subunit ribosomal RNA", at positions 29 to 507 of the family's 1533-position model. The record is from RNAcentral.
AGUGAACGCUGGCGGUAGGCCUAACACAUGCAAGUCGAACGGCAGCACAGUAAGAGCUUGCUCUUACGGGUGGCGAGUGGCGGACGGGUGAGGCAUACAUCGGAAUCUACUUUUUCGUGGGGGAUAACGUAGGGAAACUUACGCUAAUACCGCAUACGACCUACGGGUGAAAGCAGGGGAUCUUCGGACCUUUCGCGAUUGAAUGAGCCGAUGUCGGAUUAGCUAGUUGGCGGGGUAAAGGCCCACCAAGGCGACGAUCCGUAGCUGGUCUGAGAGGAUGAUCAGCCACACUGGAACUGAGACACGGUCCAGACUCCUACGGGAGGCAGCAGUGGGGAAUAUUGGACAAUGGGCGCAAGCCUGAUCCAGCCAUACCGCGUGGGUGAAGAAGGCCUUCGGGUUGUAAAGCCCUUUUGUUGGGAAAGAAAAGCAGCAGGUUAAUACCCCGAUGUUCUGACGGUACCCAAAGAAUAAGCACCGGCUAACUUCGUG